AUGAAAGCUUUAAGAGGCAUCAAUGGUUGCUGGUCUGAACUGGUUUCUGCUGCCAAAUAUCAGUCUCUCUCUACUCAAACUGCAGUGAGGAGUGAUGAGAUCCGACUGGACCAGCCUCCUACAGAGGUCAAGAAACCUGGAGAACGUCUGAAGAUCUCCUGUAAAAUUACUGGUUUUGAUAUGACAAGCCACUACAUGCACUGGAUCCUGCAGAAACCAGGAAAAGCUCUGGAAUGGAUCGGCAGGAUGGAUGCUGGCAGCAAUGCUGCAAUCUAUGCAGAAUCAAUGGAAGCCCGGUUCAAGCUGAGUGAAGAUGUUCAAGCAAGUACACAGUACCUAGAGAUCCAGAGUCUGAGAGCAGAAGAUACUGCAGUUUAUUACUGCGCCAGAGAAAGCACAGUGCCUGGAACUGAAGAAGCAGCUGUACAAAAACAUCCCACUGUAUCACUCAACACACUGAAACCUCCUCUACUGUCAUUCCUGCUUUUAUUCAAUGUUUAAUUCUGCUUUUACUUUAGACAAACAUAUGUUGGGUUAAUUUAUUGUUUAUUAGUUAAUGCAAACCAAUUACUAAUUCAUUCUAAUCCUAGAUAUUGUUCUGCACAUGACUUCAGUCCAUAGCAUUUUAGGAUUUUACAUACAUUAUACAUUUGUACUAGUACAGAUAUCACACGUAAUACUACAAAUUCUCCAAGUUUUAUAUAAACUUUACUUUUAUUUUUAUGUAAAUAUUAUUCCAGCAGUACAAAGUGAGAAGAUUCAAUAAAAGUAGCAAAAACA
Molecule: non-coding RNA, 780 nt
Organism: Trichomycterus rosablanca
Lineage: Eukaryota; Metazoa; Chordata; Actinopteri; Siluriformes; Trichomycteridae
Source: the annotation of a RefSeq genome assembly